RNAcentral lists this ribosomal RNA (924 nucleotides) under Salmonella enterica. Its description in RNAcentral is "partial 23S ribosomal RNA". It matches the Rfam family "Bacterial large subunit ribosomal RNA", at positions 582 to 1512 of the family's 2925-position model. The record is from RNAcentral. RNAcentral also lists the same sequence under 1 other name. Lineage: Bacteria; Pseudomonadati; Pseudomonadota; Gammaproteobacteria; Enterobacterales; Enterobacteriaceae.
CCCUUUGGGUGUGACUGCGUACCUUUUGUAUAAUGGGUCAGCGACUUAUAUUCUGUAGCAAGGUUAACCGAAUAGGGGAGCCGGAGGGAAACCGAGUCUUAACCGGGCGUUAAGUUGCAGGGUAUAGACCCGAAACCCGGUGAUCUAGCCAUGGGCAGGUUGAAGGUUGGGUAACACUAACUGGAGGACCGAACCGACUAAUGUUGAAAAAUUAGCGGAUGACCUGUGGCUGGGGGUGAAAGGCCAAUCAAACCGGGAGAUAGCUGGUUCUCCCCGAAAGCUAUUUAGGUAGCGCCUCGUGAAUUCAUCUCCGGGGGUAGAGCACUGUUUCGGCUAGGGGGCCAUCCCGGCUUACCAACCCGAUGCAAACUGCGAAUACCGGAGAAUGUUAUCACGGGAGACACACGGCGGGUGCUAACGUCCGUCGUGAAGAGGGAAACAACCCAGACCGCCAGCUAAGGUCCCAAAGUCAUGGUUAAGUGGGAAACGAUGUGGGAAGGCCCAGACAGCCAGGAUGUUGGCUUAGAAGCAGCCAUCAUUUAAAGAAAGCGUAAUAGCUCACUGGUCGAGUCGGCCUGCGCGGAAGAUGUAACGGGGCUAAACCAUGCACCGAAGCUGCGGCAGCGACACUGUGUGUUGUUGGGUAGGGGAGCGUUCUGUAAGCCUGUGAAGGUGUGUCGUGAGGCAUGCUGGAGGUAUCAGAAGUGCGAAUGCUGACAUAAGUAACGAUAAAGCGGGUGAAAAGCCCGCUCGCCGGAAGACCAAGGGUUCCUGUCCAACGUUAAUCGGGGCAGGGUGAGUCGACCCCUAAGGCGAGGCCGAAAGGCGUAGUCGAUGGGAAACGGGUUAAUAUUCCCGUACUUGGUGUUACUGCGAAGGGGGGACGGAGAAGGCUAUGUUGGCCGGGCGACGGUUGUCCCGGUU